Molecule: ribosomal RNA, 691 nt
Filed under: uncultured bacterium
Lineage: Bacteria
Description: bacterial SSU rRNA
Rfam family: Bacterial small subunit ribosomal RNA
Source: RNAcentral
AGCGGCGGACGGGUGAGUAACACGUGGGUAACCUGCCUCAAAGAGGGGGAUAGCCUCCCGAAAGGGAGAUUAAUACCGCAUAACAUUAGUUUUUCGCAUGAAGAACUAAUUAAAGGAGCAAUCCGCUUUGAGAUGGACCCGCGGCGCAUUAGCUAGUUGGUGAGGUAAAGGCUCACCAAGGCGACGAUGCGUAGCCGACCUGAGAGGGUGAUCGGCCACAUUGGAACUGAGACACGGUCCAGACUCCUACGGGAGGCAGCAGUGGGGAAUAUUGCACAAUGGGCGAAAGCCUGAUGCAGCAACGCCGCGUGAGUGAUGAAGGCCUUCGGGUUGUAAAGCUCUGUCUUUUGGGACGAUAAUGACGGUACCAAAGGAGGAAGCCACGGCUAACUACGUGCCAGCAGCCGCGGUAAUACGUAGGUGGCGAGCGUUGUCCGGAUUUACUGGGCGUAAAGGAUGCGUAGGCGGAUAUUUAAGUGAGAUGUGAAAUACCCGGGCUUAACUUGGGUGCUGCAUUUCAAACUGGAUAUCUAGAGUGCGGGAGAGGAGAAUGGAAUUCCUAGUGUAGCGGUGAAAUGCGUAGAGAUUAGGAAGAACACCAGUGGCGAAGGCGAUUCUCUGGACCGUAACUGACGCUGAGGCAUGAAAGCGUGGGUAGCAAACAGGAUUAGAUACCCUGGUAGUCCACGCC